This 825-nucleotide long non-coding RNA is filed under the name Mytilus galloprovincialis (Mediterranean mussel). The record is from RNAcentral. Lineage: Eukaryota; Metazoa; Mollusca; Bivalvia; Mytilida; Mytilidae.
CUUUGUUUCAUUUUUUGAGGUAAAAUUUUUCAAAUCCAGAUAAAAGCAUUGGGUUAACAUUUUCAAAAUGUUAUGUAAGGUAUUGGAGCACUUUAUUUUAACAUUAAAAACAAAAAUCAUGAACAAAAUACAAUUAACAUUUUACAAUUAUGAUUGAAAAUGAAACCAUGAUAUUUAACAGCACACAACAUAUAUGGCAGUCACAAUCUUAUACCAUAUCACAAGACAAAUUGAUUCUUCUUUUCAUAUUAAGGAAAGAUGCAGUCAUCUUUCAAACUCAAGACAUUAAUCAUGAUUUAUCUAGUAUCAAUGGAACAAUAUGAAUAUCGUGUUUACUAGUUAUAAUGUAAUAACUUAUUCAAUUUCUUAAAAACAAAUAUGACGUAUAAAUGGAAUGGUUAAAUCAUAAAAUUACUUUAAUAACUACGACACAAUGUUCAGAACCAGAUAAUAACAAUGUUACAUAUUUUGUUAAGAUUUGAUAUUUUUCUUUGCAACUCCAAAAGAUAAACAAAUGAUGAUAACUUCUAAAAGCAAACCUUUUCAUUGAAAACAUUAAUGAUCCUGAGCUUAAUUUCAAAUUAUGUCCACUCAAAACUGAAGUCAUCUCAAGUUUCUUUAAGGAACAUUGUAUUGUACAAUACAAAACUAGAGGCUCUCAAGAGCCCUGUGUCGCUCACCUUGGUCUAUGUGCAUAUUAAACAAUGGACACAGAUAAAUUCAUGAUAAUUGUGCUUUGGUGAUGGUGAUGUGUUUGUAGAUCUUACUUUACUGAACAUUCUUGUUGCUACAAUUAUCUUUAUCUAUAAUGAACUUGGCCCAGUA